Molecule: non-coding RNA, 959 nt
Organism: Neofelis nebulosa (Clouded leopard)
Lineage: Eukaryota; Metazoa; Chordata; Mammalia; Carnivora; Felidae
Source: the annotation of a RefSeq genome assembly
CCUCCUCCCUCCAGCCUCCCUCUCACCAGUGCCUGCAGGUGCCUCAGGGAAGCAGAGCUCAGAGCCUAACCUGCCCUCUGCCACCCAUCCAGUCAGUCUCCGUCCAGCAGGUGCAGCUGGGAGGUCACCCUGGGCUUCUCCCCACCAGCGGGGAAGCAGAACCAUGCUGGGUCCCCUCGCCUUCCUGUGCGCCCUCCUGUUUCCAGGUGGCGUGGCAGCGAUCAGUCUGACUCAGCAGGCUGUGGUCGUGGGGCGUGUGGGCAGCUCGGCCACCCUGUCCUGCCAAGCCAGAGCCUCCGUCAGCUACAUCCACUGGUACCUCCACCAGGAGGGGACUGACCCCAAGAGGAUCCUCAUGCUGGACAUGUCAAGGUUAUAUGUGCAGAGGUAUGGGGGCUUGGAAGUGGACAAAAUCGAUGCCAAGAAAGGCAAGGAAAGCAACAGCUGUGAACUGUCAGUGAAGAAGCUGCAGAAGAGCGACGAGGGCGUGUACUACUGUGCUUGGGAGUGGUAUGAUGGGUAUGGCUGGUAUAGCUGGGGCAACAAAGUGUUCGGUCCUGGCACACUGCUCAGGGUCGCAGAUAGAAGCCUUGAUGCAGACCCUUCCCCCAAGCCCACACUCUUUCUUCCUUCAAUGGCUGAAAUAAAAUUCGAUAGGACUGGAACGUAUCUUUGUCUUCUUGAGAAUUUCUUCCCUGAUGUUGUCAAGAUAGACUGGAAAGAAAAGAACAGCAAAAGAAUUCUGAUAUCCCAGCAGGGAAACACCAUGAAGACAAAGGACACAUACAUGAAAUACACCUGGUUGACGCGCACUAAAAAGUCAAUAAAUAAAGAACACAAAUGUAUCUUCACACAUGAGACUAAUAAAGGAGGGGUUGAUCAUGAGAUUGCUUUUCACUCAAUGAAAAAAGAGCUCGCGGUCAUUGAUUCUAUAGAAGCUUCUCUGAAAGAUGAAAAUG